CUUUAAUCGAUAACCCACGCUAGACCUCUCCCACACUUGUACCAUCAGCCUAUAUACCUCCGUCGCCAGCCCGCCUGAUAACAGACACCAAGCGAGUACAAUAGCCUAACCACUAACACGACAGGUCAAGGUGUAGCUAAUGUGUGGGCUGUAAUGGGCUACAUUUUUUAUUAUAAAACAAACCCGAGUGUUAUGAAAACCCCACGAAAAGGUGGAUUUAGCAGUAAGCAAGGAUUAGCACGCCAACCUGAAACCUGCCCUGAG
Molecule: ribosomal RNA, 264 nt
Filed under: Uroplatus ebenaui
Lineage: Eukaryota; Metazoa; Chordata; Lepidosauria; Squamata; Gekkonidae
Description: partial small subunit ribosomal RNA
Source: RNAcentral